GAGUUUGAUCCUGGCUCAGGACGAACGCUGGCGGCGUGCCUAAUACAUGCAAGUCGAACGCACGAAGUUGAAGAGCUUGCUCUUUAACCAAGUGAGUGGCGGACGGGUGAGUAACACGUGGGUAACCUGCCCAUUAGAGGGGGAUAACAUUCGGAAACGGAUGCUAAUACCGCAUAGUUUCAGGAAUCGCAUGAUUCUUGAAGGAAAGGUGGCUUCGGCUACCACUAAUGGAUGGACCCGCGGCGUAUUAGCUAGUUGGUGAGGUAAUGGCUCACCAAGGCAAUGAUACGUAGCCGACCUGAGAGGGUGAUCGGCCACACUGGGACUGAGACACGGCCCAGACUCCUACGGGAGGCAGCAGUAGGGAAUCCUCCGCAAUGGACGAAAGUCUGACGGAGCAACGCCGCGUGAGUGAAGAAGGUUUUCGGAUCGUAAAACUCUGUUGUUAAAGAAGAACAAGGAUGAGAGUAACUGCUCAUCCCCUGACGGUAUUUAACCAGAAAGCCACGGCUAACUACGUGCCAGCAGCCGCGGUAAUACGUAGGUGGCAAGCGUUGUCCGGAUUUAUUGGGCGUAAAGCGAGCGCAGGCGGUUCUUUAAGUCUGAUGUGAAAGCCCCCGGCUCAACCGGGGAGGGUCAUUGGAAACUGGAGAACUUGAGUGCAGAAGAGGAGAGUGGAAUUCCACGUGUAGCGGUGAAAUGCGUAGAUAUGUGGAGGAACACCAGUGGCGAAGGCGACUCUCUGGUCUGUAACUGACGCUGAGGCUCGAAAGCGUGGGGAGCAAACAGGAUUAGAUAC
RNAcentral lists this ribosomal RNA (799 nucleotides) under uncultured bacterium. Its description in RNAcentral is "bacterial SSU rRNA". It matches the Rfam family "Bacterial small subunit ribosomal RNA", at positions 9 to 785 of the family's 1533-position model. The record is from RNAcentral.